AGCGUAGACGGUGUGGCAAGUCUGAUGUGAAAGGCAUGGGCUCAACCUGUGGACUGCAUUGGAAACUGUCAUACUUGAGUGCCGGAGGGGUAAGCGGAAUUCCCAGUGUAGCGGUGAAAUGCGUAGAUAUUGGGAAGAACACCAGUGGCGAAGGCGGCUUUCUGGACUGUAACUGACGCUGAGGCUCGAAAGCUAGGGUAGCGAACG
Molecule: ribosomal RNA, 207 nt
Filed under: uncultured bacterium
Lineage: Bacteria
Description: partial 16S ribosomal RNA
Rfam family: Bacterial small subunit ribosomal RNA
Source: RNAcentral